RNAcentral lists this transfer RNA (62 nucleotides) under Ictidomys tridecemlineatus (thirteen-lined ground squirrel). RNAcentral's name for it is "Spermophilus tridecemlineatus (thirteen-lined ground squirrel) tRNA". It matches the Rfam family "tRNA", at positions 5 to 66 of the family's 71-position model. From Rfam's summary of the family: Transfer RNA (tRNA) molecules are approximately 80 nucleotides in length. Their secondary structure includes four short double-helical elements and three loops (D, anti-codon, and T loops). The record is from Rfam by way of RNAcentral. Lineage: Eukaryota; Metazoa; Chordata; Mammalia; Rodentia; Sciuridae.
GUGUAGCUCAGUGGUAGAGUGCUUGCCUAGCACGCAUGAGGCACUGGGUUGAUUCUCAGCAC